RNAcentral lists this ribosomal RNA (569 nucleotides) under uncultured bacterium. RNAcentral's name for it is "bacterial SSU rRNA". It matches the Rfam family "Bacterial small subunit ribosomal RNA", at positions 155 to 743 of the family's 1533-position model. The record is from RNAcentral.
AACGAUGGCUAAUACCCUAUAGUCCUAACGGUAUUGGAAGCCGAUAGGUAAAACUCCGGUGCUUUGGGAGGGGUCUGCGUCCGAUUAGCUUGUUGGUGGGGUAAUGGCCUACCAAGGCUGCAAUCGGUAGCUGGUCUGAGAGGAUGAUCAGUCACACGGGAACUGAGACACGGUCCCGACUCCUACGGGGGGCAGCAGUGAGGAAUAUUGCACAAUGGGGGAAACCCUGAUGCAGCAACGCCGCGUGGAGGAUGAAGGCUUUUUGUCGUAAACUCCUUUUCCGAGGGAAGAGUAAGGACGGUACCUCGGGAAUAAGUCACGGCUAACUACGUGCCAGCAGCCGCGGUAAUACGUAGGUGGCGAGCGUUAUCCGGAUUUAUUGGGCGUAAAGCGCACGCAGGCGGCAAAUUAAGUCUGAUGUGAAAUCUCCCGGCUCAACUGGGAGAGGUCGUUGGAAACUGAAUUGCUUGAGGCAAUGAGAGGGGUGUAGAAUUCCUGGUGUAGUGGUGGAAUGCGUAGAUAUCAGGAGGAAUACCAGUGGCGAAAGCGACACCCUGUCAUUGACCUGA